This 323-nucleotide unclassified non-coding RNA is filed under the name Hevea brasiliensis (rubber tree). The record is from RNAcentral. Lineage: Eukaryota; Viridiplantae; Streptophyta; Magnoliopsida; Malpighiales; Euphorbiaceae.
GUUAUCCUUUAAAAGGCUUUGGCAUAUGAUCUCCACUUUUAGAGGCCAAAAAAUAUCUUGUUGGAAUAUCUAUAUUGAAGCUUGGCAUCAAUUCUGAAAACCAGAUCAACAUCAGGAUUUAUUCUGCAGCAUUGAUACUGUAGCCCAAUCUUUGCCAGGCCACUGUUUUGUUGUCCCAUUGCAGUGUGUAUUAACAUAGCAUUACACCAGGACAGCUUUUGGCAUUUCAAAUUGUUUAAGACAGUGCAAUUCUAGCGGAAUAUAUGCUUUGUAAUUAGUAUCUGUGAAGUUCCAGAGUAGGUAGCGUUUCUAGAGGGGGGAAC